Long non-coding RNA from Hipposideros armiger (great roundleaf bat), 1372 nucleotides. RefSeq lists it as uncharacterized. The transcript has 4 exons. Lineage: Eukaryota; Metazoa; Chordata; Mammalia; Chiroptera; Hipposideridae. The record is from RefSeq and is a predicted model, not a curated record.
CUCCAUGCAAGCACUACCUGGCGCUUUCUCCAGGAUUUGGUGGUAGAGAUGGACGGCAGCUUCGUAUUCCUGUUUUCUAAACAUCAGCCCAGCCCAGACAGACUUGGAGCAUUUCUGGUGCACCAUCAAUGAAGAAGCAAGGCUGGGGAAAUAAACGGAAGGUGGAGCUCGGAGGUGUAACCUAGGUCAUCUUUUGAGGACCAGGCCUGGAGUCUUCCAGACUUGCAGUCUUAUUCUUCCUUCUUCAGCUUCUAUCAGAAAACGGCGGAUAAUGAGCGAAAUUCCAUACUUUUGUCAGACACAUUCUCAGGACACAUUCUAGAGACUCGGGAUGAAGAAACACAGUCUGGAGAAACCCCUCCCUGAAACACCGCCGGAGAAGAGGCUGUCAGUGUGCUACCUGUGGCUUACCGGUAGCAUCCGAUAUAGAGGCGGCUGUCUUUGCGGGUGUGCAGGAAGCUUAAAGCAAUCCCCCUUGCCACUCUUGGCCCGGGAGAGAAAUGAAACAUGGAGAUGGGUGGCAGCAGUCCUGCUACGUAGAAGUCAAGGAGAAGAUGGCCCACAUCCACCUGCGGAGCGGCUUCAGUGGCAGAACGGAGAGCACGCCCUUCAGUGCCCAGGGCCCCUGUUUCUGGAGGGCAGCAGGGAGGUGCCCGGUUAGCUGGGGGUUACAGAAACCCCCAACUGUCUGUAAGAAGCUGACUGUUCCUUAGCACCUCUAUUGUUAAUUCCUUCCUAGGGGAAAACCUAUGGACGCAUCUCCUUGUACUUUCCUGCUUUCAAAGACACUUCAAUGUCAUCGCAUUGGGCACAUAGAGGUCUAUUUGAAGUAUAUCUUCAUUGUAUUUGUACCUUUGAUCAUUUUAACACAGUUACUCUCUUUGCCCAUUUUGGUGCUUUUUGCCUUGCAUUCAGCCUUCCCAGGCAUUUCUUCCUCAGUCUCUGCUUUGUUUUUGUUUGCCCGGUAUGUUUGUAGCAACUUUUAACUUUUAUUCUGGGCCUUUUGUUUUUUGGAGUAUAGGCAGUAGGGGUUCCCUUGUUUAAAUGACUGUGAAUGUCUUUUUCAUUUAACAGGUACAUUUAUUUCAUUUACAAUUUUAGUAUCACAGAUCUGUGUUUUGGGGCUUUUUGUCGAUUUAGUUUGUUUUCAUUUAUAUAUGCUGCUUGUGGUUUGCUUAAUUUCUGCCUUUGACAUGUGGCCCUGCUUGCUUUUCUUCCUAAUUCUUGAUUAAAGUGGUGGAAAUAGUCUCUUUUUCAUCCUACUAACAGUCAUCUUUCUAUCAAGAAAUAUUUGGUCUAAAAAAUUGAAUGAACGAGCAAAGUAAACAGAAGUGGUCUCAGAGAUAUAGAGGAACAAUUGAUGGCUGCUAGU